UUCAGAAGUGUGCUCUUGAGAUCCUCCUGUUCUCUUUCCUUUUUUCGUUUAUUUAGCCCUUCUCGGACCUUGGCCAUAGAAUCUCUUACUAUUCCUGUGUGGUCAGCAUAGAAACAACACUCUUC
Molecule: long non-coding RNA, 125 nt
Organism: Lynx canadensis (Canada lynx)
Lineage: Eukaryota; Metazoa; Chordata; Mammalia; Carnivora; Felidae
Exons: 3
Source: RefSeq, a predicted model, not a curated record